RNAcentral lists this ribosomal RNA (406 nucleotides) under uncultured bacterium. Its description in RNAcentral is "partial 16S ribosomal RNA". It matches the Rfam family "Bacterial small subunit ribosomal RNA", at positions 30 to 526 of the family's 1533-position model. The record is from RNAcentral.
AUUGAACGCUGGCGGCAGGCCUAACACAUGCAAGUCGAACGAGCGGCGGACGGGUGAGUAAUGUCUGGGAAACUGCCCCAUGGAGGGGGAUAACCACUGGAAACGGUAGCUAAUACCGCAUACCAUCGGAUGUGCCCAGAUGGGAUUAGCUAGUAGGUGGGGUAACGGCUCACUUAGGCGACGAUCCCUAGCUGGUCUGAGAGGAUGACCGGCCAAACUGGAACUGAGACACGGUCCCGACUCCUACGAGAGGCAAGAGUGGGUAAUAUUGCAAAAAAGGCGCAAGCCUUAUGCAUCCAUGCCGCGUGUAUGGAGAAGGCCUUAAGGUUGUAAAAGACUUUCAGCGAGAGGGAGGUACUCGCAGAAGAAGCACCGACUAACUCCGUGCCAGCAGCCGCAGUAGUAC